GUAAAAUAAAAAAAAAAAUUUGGCACCCCUUAAGUGUUUAUUAAAUCUUUUGGAACCCCUUUAUAUAUUUAUUAAAUACAUUUUUAACUCCACUCUUUCAUUAAAUACCAAAAAAAAAUUCGCUCAUCUUCUUUCGUUACUCUCUCCUGCUUCAUAUCCCCUUUCCACCAUUUUUUAAUUUCAAACUUGUGUAAAUCAUCUCCAACUUCGAUCUUCAACUUCAGGUAAGAUAUACUCACUUUCUGAUUAAUUUGUGCUCCAUAUUGAUGGCUGUUUUUUUUUGAAUUCGUUUGUGGUGGUUGAAUUCAUUGGAGUUAAAUUUUUUUUAUUUUUUUUUUGAAAACGGGGAUUGAUUUUACUGGACUUGGUUGUUUUUAGUUGGUAUUUACUUGAUUGUUGAUGGAUAAUUGGUGUACAUCGAUUAUCCUUGGCGAUUGCAUGUUGAAAUUUCUUCACUAGUUUCAUCGGAAUGUGGCAAGAUAUGUGAUUUUUGUUCAAACUUUUCUCCAAUGUAAUGAUAUUGUAGAAGCAUGUUAAUGUUGGGAAUUCCUUGGUUUGAAUCAUACUCGUAUUUGAUAUUUGGACCUGAAAAAAUGGUGCUUGAUUUUACUUAAAAUUUGUGUUUUUAAGUUGGUAUUUGGUUUGAUUGUGCAUUGUUUUUGUAGGAUUUUAAUUUCCCUCAACGAUUGCAUUGAGAUUUUUUUUUGUCAAUUUUUCUUGAUUUUCACGCUAAAAAUCUGGGUUCCUUCAUGUUUUUGUUCAAUAUAAUGGUGAUUUAGAUGUAUGUUCUUGUGGUGAUGGAGUUGUUUUAGAAGAAACUUCUUCUGCAAAUAGUCUUUUUUGGUGCUGCAAUUGCUUUCAUGUUAAUAGACUGUUAGGUCGAUUAGGUAUUGUAUUUGUUGUUAUAGUUGAGAAAUAUUAUUUUUUGUCCGUAGAUCAUAACAAAUGACUACAGGUAACAAACAUAAGGCUAUAGAAGUUGAUAGGUCUGAGAAAAGAAAAAAAUGAGUAGUCGAUGGAUUGGAGAAUAGAAAUUGCAGUGAGGAAACUGUUGAAGCUUCGGUUCGAGAUGAGCCGGAGGAAAUAGAAAUUGAGGCUAGGAUAAAUGAGGUAGCAUUGAUCUUGCUCCACUGUGCAAGAUUUAUUUUGGUUGAGAGGUAUGACCUUGCCAUAGUCCUGGAUGAUGUUGGAUCAUUUCCAACUAAGAUAUCCAUUAGGUCCCGUUUGAAAAUGUUUUAUGAAUUCAAAGAAGUCGUGAUUGAUCAACGUCUGAAGUUUAGGUUUAAGAAUUCCUGUUUUGGUACUUUAUGGGACUUGCCAGAACAUAUGAAGUUCAACGGACAACUUGUCCACUAUACACUUCUUCGCCAAGUUGAACAGGACAACAAGCUGCAUGAAAUGUGGUUCUGCAUCAAUGAUAGGCCUAUAUGUUUUGGCCUGAAUGAGUUUACGCUAAUCACGGAUUUAAAAUGUGGAUGUUAUCUCCGUGAUUCAUAAUAUGUCAAAGUGAUGGAGGAGGGUGAAGAUUUUUUCAAAAAGAUUGCGAAAAAAGAAGUGUAAAUGCGAAGAGAUUGAUGAAGCUUAUUAGAGGUGGGAGGCUAAACAAGAAGGACAAGUUCAAAUGCUGCUUGGUUUGGUUCAUGCACUGCAUAUUGCCUGCACGCGACUUGUCAAAAAUCAUGGACAUAGACCCCAUCAAGAUGGUGGAUAACUUGAGCUUCUUUGAGAGAUACCCUUGGGGUAAGGAGUCAUUUGCCUUGACUCUAGACUAUUUGAACAAGUGGAUAGACUUCAGCAGGCAGAAGAAGACAUUUGUGACAAAGGGAGUUUGGUCGUAUGCGCUCUACGAAUUUUCCUGGGCAUUUAUGAUUUGAAUAUACGAAGCCUUUUCUGCGCUCGACAGGAAAAAUGGUAAAUAAAUUGAAAACUCGCUGCCCUUUUCCUGAUUGCUCAGAUGGCAUACCUCAAAAGGCGAUAAACUAAUCGAAGCUGUAGAGAGUGCACCCGUACCUUAUCCCUACAAUCCGUGAAAUGAAGCAGCACUACAUGAAAAAGUUCAAAGCAUUCACGGACGAACCAAAGGACACAUUCAACAAUGGCUUGAAGGCCCAUCUGGAAGGUGUGACUGUCAUCACCUCAUCAGAGAAUGGUGAAGAUGGGUAUGACCAGAAUAUGGGUGAAAAUGUUAUUUCUAGACAUGUCACUUGAGGUGCGGGAACGAGUAAGCCGAGAGCAUCGAAAAAGACGCUGAUGAUUGAAAAUCUAAAAGAGCGCGUGUUUAGGUUGGAGGAUUCGAUCAAGGACAUCUUUGAAUUUGUGAAAGAAGAGAGGUUUAGGAGAGAAGAAAAGGAGAAAUAAAAGAACAGAGAUGAAAAUGAAGGUGUGCAGGUGUAAAGUCGGCAUUCAGCGGCGAGGUCUGUCCGCGAUGACAGCGGCAUUAAAGAACCUCUCUUUGAUGCAGCAACUUUGGAACAGGCCUCGGUCAAUGCUAAUGAAGUGAUAAUCCCUGAGGUUGCAGCUGUUGUAAAGAAGAAAAAUCUCGAUGAAGGCGAUGAAGAGAAAGAAGGGAAUAAAUGAAGAAGCUGUUGGUGAAGAAGAAAACAAAGUUGAUGGAUCAGUUGGUGUGGAGAAGGAGGAUCAUAACGAAAGCAGGCAGGAUGAAGAAGAAUAAAUAUGAGAAAAGUGUUUGUGAAGAAGAAAACAAUGAAGGAGAUGGAGAGGAAGCAGAAGAGAAGAAGUCAGGAAAAGUAGAGAAAGAAGAAGGAAAAAUGAUGCACCAAAAAAAGAAGGUAUCGCGGGAAAAGAAAAUGAGAAUGAAUUUUCAAAUUUAGAUGAAUUUUUUAAUGAAGUUACUCAAGACAUUGACAAGAUGCAAGUGAAAGAUGAAAAUAUUCAAUGUUUAGACAAUGUUUAAUUUUUAUUUGAGGCUGAUGACUAUUUUUAUUAGACUAGACAAUCUUAACUUUUAACUUUCAGCUCGGGAUGUGUACAGCUGAACAAUUUUGUUUUAUAAACUGCUUUUAUAGUUUAUGAUAAACAUUUUAAAUUUAUAUAAUCAACGUAUCAUUGCCUUUA
Long non-coding RNA from Capsicum annuum, 3075 nucleotides. RefSeq lists it as uncharacterized. The record is from RefSeq and is a predicted model, not a curated record. NCBI's taxonomy places the organism in Eukaryota, Viridiplantae, Streptophyta, Magnoliopsida, Solanales, Solanaceae. The transcript is spliced from 4 exons.